AAAAUUGCUUUAAGCUAGAAUUUCUGGAAGGGCCAUAAACUUGUGUCACAAAUCUGAAUUGUAAAAUAAUCAUAUUUUACAAAUUAUGUGAAAUAGACUUGCAAAAGUAUAGCUAUAUACAUUAAAAGACAAAUAAACUUGUUAAGAACAAAAUUCAACGAAAUCUCCCUUUAAGAGAUUACAUCUACAAACACUACAGUCAUUAAUACUUUCAACCAUAAUAUUUACUCAAACCUUACAUUUACAAAAUUAAACUUCACGAGUGACGAACAACACAUCAAAAAUACUAUAUUAAAACAUGAGUUUAUCACGAAAAUUUGAAUUGAAAUUUCUUCGAGCUCUUAUCCACAUAAAUCCUAUAAUGCUAGCCCAAAUCAGACCAUGUGACUAAACUUCUCCUCUGAACCUUAGGCUCUGGAAGUACUAGAAGUUGACAUUUUUCACUAACUAAUUAUACAAACACAGCAGAAACGCUAUCAUAGACAUUAAAAAAUUAUAUAAGUGAAAGAAUGAAUGAUGUGGCUAGCAAAACAGACUAUGAGGAGUGUAUUGACAAAUUGGCAUUAAUGGAUUAAAGAAAAAAAAAGGUAACAUUUCAUGUCUAGAAAAUACGCAAAGCUAUAGAAUUUGACAUCUUCAGCUAAAAUUUCAAGUUACAGCAGCGA
RNAcentral lists this unclassified non-coding RNA (665 nucleotides) under Hevea brasiliensis (rubber tree). The record is from RNAcentral. Lineage: Eukaryota; Viridiplantae; Streptophyta; Magnoliopsida; Malpighiales; Euphorbiaceae.